GGAGAAGUGCCCGAGUGGUCGAAGGGGAUUGACUCGAAAUCAAUUGGGCGGCUUGCUGCUCCGUGGGUUCGAAUCCCACCUUCUCCGCCA
This 90-nucleotide transfer RNA is filed under the name Aminivibrio sp. RNAcentral describes it as "tRNA-Ser". It matches the Rfam family "tRNA". From Rfam's summary of the family: Transfer RNA (tRNA) molecules are approximately 80 nucleotides in length. The record is from RNAcentral. Lineage: Bacteria; Thermotogati; Synergistota; Synergistia; Synergistales; Aminobacteriaceae. RNAcentral also lists the same sequence under 1 other name.